Molecule: unclassified non-coding RNA, 303 nt
Filed under: Hevea brasiliensis (rubber tree)
Lineage: Eukaryota; Viridiplantae; Streptophyta; Magnoliopsida; Malpighiales; Euphorbiaceae
Source: RNAcentral
AUGAACUUCUGAAGGCAUUGGAUUACUGCCACUCACAAGGUAUUAUGCAUCGAGAUGUGAAGCCCCAUAAUGUCAUGAUUGAUCAUGAGCAGAGGAAGCUUCGUCUUAUAGACUGGGGACUAGCGGAGUUUUAUCAUCCUGGGAAAGAAUACAACGUUCGUGUUGCUUCAAGAUACUUCAAAGGCCCUGAACUUCUUGUUGAUUUGCAAGAUUAUGAUUAUUCUUUAGACUUGUGGAGCCUUGGCUGUAUGUUUGCUGGAAUGAUAUUCCGAAAGGAGCCAUUCUUCUAUGGGCAUGAUAAUU